RNAcentral lists this ribosomal RNA (425 nucleotides) under uncultured prokaryote. Its description in RNAcentral is "bacterial SSU rRNA". It matches the Rfam family "Bacterial small subunit ribosomal RNA", at positions 355 to 796 of the family's 1533-position model. The record is from RNAcentral.
UGGGGAAUAUUGGACAAUGGGGGCAACCCUGAUCCAGCCAUGCCGCGUGAGUGAAGAAGGCCUUAGGGUUGUAAAGCUCUUUCAGUCGUGACGAUGAUGACGGUAGCGACAGAAGAAGCCCCGGCUAACUCCGUGCCAGCAGCCGCGGUAACACGGAGGGGGCAAGCGUUGUUCGGAUUUACUGGGCGUAAAGGGCGCGUAGGCGGGGUAUCAAGUUAGGGGUGAAAGCCUAGACACUUAAUGUCAGAAGUGCCAUUGAUACUGAAGAGCUUGAGUCGAGGAGAGGUAAGCAGAAUUUGUGGUGUAGCAGUGAAAUGCUUAGAUACCAUGAGGAAUACCAACAGCGAAAGCAGCUUACUGGCCUUGUACUGACGCUGAGGCACGAAAGCGUGGGGAGCAAACAGGAUUAGAUACCGCCGUAGUCC